GACGAACGCUGGCGGCGUGCUUAACACAUGCAAGUCGAACGGAAAGGCCCUGCUUUUGUGGGGUGCUCGAGUGGCGAACGGGUGAGUAACACGUGAGUAACCUGCCCUUGACUUUGGGAUAACUUCAGGAAACUGGGGCUAAUACCGGAUAGGAGCUCCUGCUGCAUGGUGGGGGUUGGAAAGUUUCGGCGGUUGUGGAUGGACUCGCGGCUUAUCAGCUUGUUGGUGGGGUAGUUGCUUACCAAGGCUUUGACGGGUAGCCGGCCUGAGAGGGUGACCGGCCACAUUGGGACUGAGAUACGGCCCAGACUGCUACGGGAGGCAGUAGGGGGGAAUAUUGCACAAUGGGCGGAAGCCUGAGGCAGCAACGCCGCGUGCGGGAUGACGGCCUUCGGGUGGUAAACAGAUUUCGCCGGAGACGAAGAGUGAGUGACGGUAAUGGGUAAAGAAGCACCGGCUAACUACGUG
This 468-nucleotide ribosomal RNA is filed under the name uncultured bacterium. RNAcentral's name for it is "partial 16S ribosomal RNA". It matches the Rfam family "Bacterial small subunit ribosomal RNA", at positions 28 to 507 of the family's 1533-position model. The record is from RNAcentral.